This is a long non-coding RNA of Tympanuchus pallidicinctus (lesser prairie-chicken), 5473 nucleotides long. RefSeq lists it as uncharacterized. Lineage: Eukaryota; Metazoa; Chordata; Aves; Galliformes; Phasianidae. The transcript has 2 exons. The record is from RefSeq and is a predicted model, not a curated record.
UUUUUUGUUUUUUUUUGUUUUUGUUUUUGUUUUUCCAUUUUCAGCACCUCUGAGUUCUUUUGUGAGUCCACCCUGUACUGCUUAAUGCUCAGGUUUGUAUUAUGUCAAAUCUUGGAAUACAGUAUCUUUCCCUGCAAGAAAUGAGCAGCAUAGAAAAAGCUUACACCUAAAAUUUCAGGAAAAUUGAAGCUUGCAAGAUAAAGAAAAGUUCUGCACUGUAGACAGAAAAAUAGUACAUCAAUAAUUGACUGGAUACCGAGAUUUAGGUCCAGUUUCACGCCUGCUUCUUUUUUUUAUGGGUAACAUAGCUAUAAAAGAACUGAGCUAGCUUGAAUGCUGUGCUAUAGCACAGACUGUGUUCACACCACACUGAUUAUAGUCUGUCUGCUUAGGCAGUAAGCAGCUUAGGAUACAGACUUUUUCUUCAUACAGAACCUACCAAUAUCAGGUCUUGAUCACAGGGGAUUUUGUGUGAUAUAUUUCUUAAUGAUAUGUGAAUAGCAGCUCUACUUAGUAAAGCUCAUUCCUUCCAUGACUCCAGAAAAUACUUUUUGCUGAUGUCUUCCAUAUAUAGAACUGUGAACUGUUUACAAAUGAGCUCAGAAGUUGCCCUGUGUGGGUGUGAUGUGUCUCCACUUAUUUUCUUUUCAGAUGUACCUGGUAGGUUUAGUUCUGGUGAUUUUUUGUUUGUUUGUUUCCUCUUGGUUGUUUUUUUUCCCUUCUGGCAGAAUCUUUUUUUUUUUUUUUUUUUUUACUAUGUACUAUUUUAGAAAGUUAAUAUAACCUUUCAGACUUCCGACUUGUAAUUCAGUAGUUUAUUCUUGACUAUAUAUCAGAAGUUACAUAAAUGGCAAUAGUGGUAGGAUGCUAAAAGGGUAAUUAUCUACACUAUUUCAAAUGCUUUUUUCUAAGUGUCUCAUUUAUUAGCAGCAUUUCAAAGCGUUCUUUUCAAAAGAAAAAAUACAUCUGCUCAUGAAGACUUUUUCUAGUAAAAAAUGCCUAUCAAAUUUAGGUCUGGACAGUUAUGCAGUGAAUCAAAAAAAAAAAAAACCCAUAGUCCUGAUCUGUACACUCAGCAUAUAAGUAAAGUCAUGGGAUCUAGUGAUACAUAUCAUAAUUGAGAACUGAGUCUUAAUUAAAAGUUCUCGUAUGCAAAAAAUUAUUACUUGCAUAGACAGAACUUCUGUGAGACUUAGCUGCUGCUAUUUUGUUUUCUAACAUAACUUACUCAUAUAGAAUCUUGAUUUUACUUGAAUAUAUUUUAAAUAAUUUAAAAUAAGGACUGUAUACUUUAUUUAAAAUAUAUUGUUCUUUUAGAUAUGUAAAAAAAAAAAUGAGGCGGAUGAAAUUAGUUUGUCUAUACUUAGGCACCCUCUUUGUUUUCCCCUUUGGUGAAUGAGUCUCAGGCUGUGUAAGCUGUGUGUAAGCAAUCCCAGCUGCAUUGUGUAGCACCUCUACAGAGAAAAUACUUCUCUUCUUAUCCAGUCUUACAGUGGGCAUCUCAUCCCUGGACUCGUUGACCACAAGCAUCUGGAGCUGGGAUGGCAUGGGAAAUUCGAAAAUUAAAGCCUCAUUCUCACUCUUUUUAUCUGUAGUGACCUUUUCAGCUCCUGGCCAAGUGAAGAGGAGUCACUUGGUUAAAUUCAGAUGUUAAAUGUUGUUUCUAGCUUUUAGUUCUAGUAGCUGUUGUUUAUUUUGGACAGUAGCAAAAAACCCUUGGAAGCAAUAAUCACAAUAGAACACAUCUUUUAAUUCUUCUGAGGGUUUUAUAGGUCUUUGCAUCUGGCAGAUUAAAAAAAAAAAAAAAAAAAAAAAAAAAAAAGAGGAGAGAAAUACACUGUUAAAUCUAAUGGAUAAACUUGUUACACCAAGGAAAAGUUACAGAAAAAUUCAUGUGAAGCGACAUCUGUGCCACUGUAGUGGUGCCUCUGAGGAGGAAGAGGCACUAGCAGUGAAUGAUCCAGUUGGCACUCUGAUAGAGAAACAGUGUGUCUUUGUAGGUGUAAGGCAUAGAAAUUUGCAGUUAGCUGAAGGUACAUGGAUUUUUUAGCCUUGUGGGCAGACUAAUUUCUCAGGUUUGUUUUUGAUUUGUUUUUGUAGCCAAAAUGUGAAGUUGUUUUGUGUAUUUCAGUUUAUUUUUUCUUCUUGUAAUAUGAGAACAACCUGAUAGUCAGUAAAAGGAAAGUAAGCCAGGUUGUGAAGAGAAAUGCCCAUUGCCUUAGAUUCACAUCCCAGAGGGUCCCCUGAGAGUUCUUGGUUUCUCAGAGCUUUAUGGUGCUUGGCAGCUUUUAGUCCCUUACAGUGAAACUCAUUGCAGUACAAAGCCAUCCACUGAGGCAUUGUGCUUAGGUUUCAGGAGAUAGAGCUUCAAAUUCUACGAAAUCUGUAAAAUACGAAGAUAAUUUUUAGGAGUUCAAGGGGAUGAAACAGCAUCCAGUUAGUUACUGUGUAAGCUGACUGUGAAUGGUGUCUGGAGAGUGUUCCCACUGCUCUCCCUGCACCUGCAUUGCAGUAGUACUCACACAUACAUUUCUUAAUUGCUUUCCUGUAAAAAUCCUCUUUGGGUCACUACUGAAAAUAGGAUUCCAGGUGACCCAGGCAAUCAAUAACAUUUUAUUUGGUAGGAGUUUUACUCCUAGAUAAAUAUAAAUAGUGGAAAAAAAUAGAAAAAGAAUGAUAGAAAGAAAGAAAGAAACAACAGAAGAUGCUAACACAUCUGAGUAAAUGUAGCAUUGACAAAUAGAAUCGAGUUAAGAAAGAGUCCAGCUGUAUAAGACAGAAGUGUUUCUUGUGGUGAGGGAUGAGCAAUGCAUAUUGGGGGUGCUACUGAUUUGGAGAACAGUCAUUCUAUUUUUGCACUGUUGUGAGCAACUACUGCACAAUACCUCCUCAGGAAGGCUGUUACAAUGCUACCCAUUAUUUCAGCUAUACUUAAUAUUCUGCUGGCAUUUUCUUGAUAAAUCUAUUUUUAAAGGCUACAAUGAGGUGGUAAAUGUUCAUUCAACAACAAAGAUGGCUGCAAUUAACAAUUCAAAGAUUUCUGAAAGAGAAGCAGAAGUUCAUGAAAACAGUAGUGGAUUCUGGCAUUUUUGUACAGGAAUUCAAAAAAUAUAUGAGUAGUGUAAGGAUGGGGCAUGCCUCUGGUGUCUGUACAGAUCACAGAGCAACAUCUCUGUCCACCCUCUUCUGUAAGAGAGCUGCAGAGUUGUCUUUAAGACCCAAAAGCUGUGAUUAUCCAAAAUCUUUGAUCCAUUAGAAAUUCCAUCUGGAGCGCAGUGAGUGAUCUGAGAACCAGUUAGUGCUUUUCAGUGUAACAUGUUGGCUGUUUGAUUGACCAAAUUUGACUGGAAGAGCCUGAUUUUUGUGAGGCUGUACAGACAUACUGGGUGCCAUCAUUAUGUCCCUCUCUCUCACCCCUUUAAAUUCUCCGGUUGGUCUUCUUCAAGACCUCAUUUGUCACACGCAACCCCAUGUCAACUGGUUCCAGGGGACACCUGUAUCUCUUCUUCAUUUGGGAACAGUACACAUAGUAUCAUAACUUUGCCAAAGUCUCACAGUGUAAUGAACUCAUUGCCUAGGAGUGUUCCAACAGAUUGGUCACCAAUACAACAUUAAGGGCAGAGACUGUCUGAAGAGAAGUCUGAAGAGACUUACACUAUGGUUAGGUAUAGCUGCCCUUGCUCCCAGAUGAAAUUUUUACUCUACUUCGAGUAAAAAAGUUUCAGACUUUUACUAUUUUGCCAUUCAGUUCUUUCUUAUAUGCCAGGUUGAAUGUUGGGUGGAGAAAGACAACACUCAGCUUUCCGGAGAAACAUCUUGUAUGUCCACAUAGGGUUCCAGCGUUCUCUGAUCUCUGGUAAACUUGCACUACAGUUGGACAUCCACUAGUCAAGAUCAUGCCACCAGUGUGAGAGACCAAGCUCUUUCCAAAGACAGUGUCAGAUCUUGGCGUGGUCCCCGUCCUGUAGCAGACAGUACUUAUGCCUGAAACACUCCAGCAUGUGCUCUUUGCAUUGGGACAGCCAGUCCUCCUCUUCCUCCUUCUGCCAGCAGGCCCCCGCUCAGAGGCAGACAAGACUCAACUAUUCAUCCUCAGGCCAUCACCAUUUGAGAACUGGCUAUGAGCCCUCUGACUGAAUUGCACACAUCUGCCAACUGAUGUGAAAGAGGGCAUGUUCCAGGCACGUAGCCUAGAUCAUGGAGAAGAGAGUUCUUCCUUCCUCCUUCUGGACAGCAAGCAGGAUUUGGACAUUGAGUCAUCAGAGAAAAUGGCUUGGAGUGAAUGGAUUUUCCUGUAUCCUGCUACCUGUCCAGCAGAAGUUGUGGCUGCAGAGAGCACACCAAAGUGUACAGAUCUCCUGGUUCCAACAGUCCUGUACAAAUGCCACUAGAACAUAACAAAGCUCAUCAAGAGAGAGGAUGAUCAGGAAGCAUAGCUGCAGCAGAACUGUGUCAAGCAGAGCUUUGGUACAUUUAAGAGCAUCUGAGGUAGAAGAACCAUGUGGCACAUGAGGAGUUCCACAUACUUAUGACUCUAGACACUAAAGCUUGACUGCCAUGUUCCUGGGAAUCUCUAUAAUCCCCUAUCACAUGGAGACAGCCAGUCAUCCCACAUCAUUUCCAAGCACAAGUACUUACAGGACCUGAUAUGCAGGCUAGCUUUAUGAGCUUUUGUAUUCCUAAGCCUAAGAAUUCCACUCAGAAAGCUGCAUCAAAGGGCAAUGCAGCUUUGGAAGGAGUGCCUCCAGACUUCUUGAAACCAGCAGUAGAAUGGUCAUAGCUCUUGGUGGGACUGAAGGUCACGGUAUUCUCUAUUUUGUUUCUGUUUUAUUUUUAUUGUAUUUGACCUUGACAUUUGCAGGAUGAGAUGCCUGGUCACAGUCUGAUAAUUCUAAUUAAGAUUGAAUAUUUUGUAAUGUAACGAGUAAGUGGCCAUAGAAAACUAGAAACCUUCAUAUUUUGCUUAGUACAUUUUAACAUUAGCUGGUGCUAAAUGGAUACUAUUUAUUAGGUUGUGCUUGAGAACACUGAAUAUUUUUGUUCUCCUUCUCUUCAUAAUCAGCCAGAGCAAUAGAGAGCAAGGAAGGGCAUUUGGGGCAUGUCAUUUGUUUGAACUCGAGGCCUUGCUCCCUAAAAAUGGCCUGUUUCCUAGUCUUGUGUGGCAGCAUUAUCUUGACCUGAUGUGGUCCCGCUAAAUAAGGGUACGCUUAUGAAAAUUUGUGUAUGGGGCAAUUCUACUUCUGGACUCUGAAUAUCUGCCGAAUUCAACAAGAACAGCUGUCCUCUUUUUAAAUGUGUUUUCUUCUUGCUUGUCAGUGUCCCAUUGUGGUAGGUAAUCCAGAGAGUUAAAUAUUGGUUGUCUGUCAGGUCUGUGCCUUGCCAGUAUCUGUUCUAUAUAAGGUAAUACAGUUGCCUUGCACUUGUCAAACCGGAAAACAAAUGUGGUAAUGAAUAAAGUAAUUUUUGCACUGUA